CUGCUGCCUUCCGUAGGAGUUUGGGCCGUGUCUCAGUCCCAAUGUGGCCGGUCACCCUCUCAGGCCGACUACUGAUCGUCGCCUUGGUAAGCCGUUACCCCACCAACUAGCUAAUCAGACGCAGAUUCAUCUAAAAGCGGGAGCAUUGUUAAGAGGCCUCCUUUCCUAAACAGAAGAUGCCUUCCGUUUAGCUUAUCCGGUAUUAGCAGUCGUUUCCAACUGUUGUCCCAGUCUUUAAGGUAGAUUAUCUACGCGUUACUCACCCGUCCG
This 270-nucleotide ribosomal RNA is filed under the name uncultured bacterium. RNAcentral's name for it is "partial 16S ribosomal RNA". The record is from RNAcentral.